Molecule: transfer RNA, 85 nt
Filed under: Bartonella sp. 220B
Lineage: Bacteria; Pseudomonadati; Pseudomonadota; Alphaproteobacteria; Hyphomicrobiales; Bartonellaceae
Description: Bartonella sp. 220 tRNA-Leu
Rfam family: tRNA
About the family: Transfer RNA (tRNA) molecules are approximately 80 nucleotides in length. Their secondary structure includes four short double-helical elements and three loops (D, anti-codon, and T loops). Further hydrogen bonds mediate the characteristic L-shaped molecular structure. tRNAs have two regions of fundamental functional importance: the anti-codon, which is responsible for specific mRNA codon recognition, and the 3' end, to which the tRNAs corresponding amino acid is attached (by aminoacyl-tRNA synthetases). tRNAs cope with the degeneracy of the genetic code in two manners: having more than one tRNA (with a specific anti-codon) for a particular amino acid; and 'wobble' base-pairing, i.e. permitting non-standard base-pairing at the 3rd anti-codon position.
Source: RNAcentral
GCCCAGAUGGCGGAAUUGGUAGACGCGCAGGUUUCAGGUACCUGUGCCGCGAGGCGUGGAGGUUCGAGUCCUCUUUUGGGCACCA